Molecule: ribosomal RNA, 497 nt
Filed under: uncultured bacterium
Lineage: Bacteria
Description: partial 16S ribosomal RNA
Rfam family: Bacterial small subunit ribosomal RNA
Source: RNAcentral
GAUGAACGCUGGCGGCGUGCCUAAUACAUGCAAGUCGAGCGAACAGACGAUGAGCUUGCUCCUCUGACGUUAGCGGCGGACGGGUGAGUAACACGUGGAUAACCCACCUAUAAGACUGGGAUAACUUCGGGAAACCGGAGCUAAUACCGGAUAAUAUAUUGAACCGCAUGGUUCAAUAGUGAAAUACGGUUUUGCUGUCACUUAUAGCUGGAUCCGCGCCGCAUGAGCUAGUUGGUAAGGUAACGGCUUACCAAGGCAACGAUGCGUAGCCGACCUGAGAGGGUGGUCGGCCACCCUGGAAGUGGGACGCGGUCCAGACUCCUACGGGAGGCAGCAGUAGGGAAUCGUCCGCAAUGGGCGGAAGCCUGACGGAGCGGCGCCGCGUGAGUGAUGAAGGUCUUCGGAUCGUAAAACUCUGUUAUUGGGGAAAAACAAAUGUGUAAGUAACUAUGCACGUCUUGACGGUACCUAAUCAGGAAGCCACGGCUAACUACGUG